CUCCACCUUAUAUAUAUUAUCAUGUAGGAGAUAGAGUGCUUGCUGCAGUAAGUUCAGGUGUUUUGUGUUGCAGAGAAAACUGUAAAAUCUGUUUUAGAUGUUUGCAUGUUUACCUAGUUUUUCACUUCAAAAAAUUGGUGAAGAGACUUCUGUCAAAAGAAUUUCAGUGGGCUACCUACCACCUCUUUCCCACAGUGGAAGCAGAGAUUGGUGAUUAAUAUCCUCUGUCCUGCGGGGGAAAAAAUUCAUGAUGUCAGAAAAUGAGUGAGUCAACAGAAAGCCUACCUAAGAGUCUCCUUGGCUGAGGAGGAAGACGAAAGCACAGUUCUGAGCAUGAGAGCUCACAUUCUGUUUCUACCAGGUGCUGAAGAAAAGCAAGACAGGUGGUUAAGACUGAAGAGUUGAUCCUGCGCUGUGCUGUGGAGUGGGCAGCUUCUCUCCAUCUUCUCUCACCCUGACACACUGUCUUAGGAUUCCAGUCUCAGAAGCCAGGAACAUAAGCUCCAGGAAAGCCACAGACUAUGGCCACCUACAUCUUGAAGCUCCGUGCCUGCCCUUGGGAGACACUAAAGAAAGGGUCUCACUAUAUUGCCCAGGCUGGCCUUGAACUCUUGGGCUCUAGCAAUCCUCCCAUCUCAGCUUGCCAAGUAGCUGGUACUACAGGCCCAUGCCACUACAUCCAGCUAUAUUAACUCAACUUUGAAGACAAUGUGACAUCCAGGCUGACAUGCAACUUACUGCCAAAUAUAUUUUCCUAUAGCUUUAUUUAAAAUAUUGACUAAAAAUAGGAUCAUCUAAACCCUAAGAUAGUAUUGAGUUUUGUUUAUAAUAUAGUAUUACUUUAUUGUUCUCCUCUAGAAUGCAAAGCCUUGGUAUUGCCUGCAAUGUAGAAUAUUUUAAUCGUAACAUGUAAAAAUACAUAAGAAAAAUAUUAACGAUUCAUGCCUUUAAAUAUAUUUGCAAGUUUGACUAACAUAAAAUGUAGCGUGGAGUAUCUCUAACUUUACCCUUCCAAAUAUAUAAUUCCUACUUAAAGCCAACUGGAAUCAGGCUAAACAAUUUUGGUGACAAAAUAAGAGCCAUUAAUAUUGUAAAAUUAGGCCAUACCUUGGUAUUAAAACAUACUAAUUUAAAAAAAUAGAUAUUUUAAUGAACUGACUGCAUAGUUGAUUUAAGAGCCAAUCGCACAGGUCUCAGUUUAAAAGUUGGUAUAGUAAAAGAUUAAAAUAAAACCCAAUCAAUUAUGUUAUUACAUAUAAUCAUAUACAAAAUAAGUAUAAAUUUGUACUAUAUUUAAUUUAAUAGCAAAGAUAAUAGGAGUUCUUCUGUUAAUCAAGCAUAGAAUAACAAUUAAAAAUUAAUAUAACAAAGUUGUUACUCAAAACAUUAAUUAUGAUCUCCAGACAAGGUAAUCUACGCAUUCAGUCGAACAGAAAUAUUAUAAAAUAUGAAGUGUAAUCAUUUAACAUAUAGGAACUACAAAUAUGACGCUAAUCUAUUGAAAUUCCUACUCACUACUUCUAAUAAGAAAUCACAGCUAUGGGUCAAUAGGAAUAUGGAAAGGUAAUAACUGUGUAAUGCACACAACCUUCAAAAGGUAAAUUGAGCCAUUGUUUUUCUUAGGAAUGCUACACAGGGGAAUGGCUGGGAUGCACUUAAAGAUCACUUACCUUGAAAUUAUAAUCCCAUUUACCUGCUCUCUAAUAAAGGUAAAUAAAAGAUGGUAGUGUAAGUAAAGUCUAAAUAUUAAUCUAACACAUUUCACCUAUGGAAAAAAAUUCCUUAUAUUGUGACUCUGGAAAUUAUUUGAUACAGAUGUAUAUAGAAUUCACAACAAGUAUUUUCUAAGUCAACUUGCUCAGUCACAUGAAAAAUAAGUUAUUUUUAGUAUCAUAUUUUUCUCCCUUUUUUUCUUUGUUGCAUAGUGUUUGUUGAACAUAAGUGUUCUGAUCUAAAAUUAGAUUCUCACACUGUAUGUAGCUGCCUAGUUAUUCAAAAAGAAAUGUAAUUAUGUGCACAUAUCAUAGGGAAAUAUUCUAAAUUGAUUGGAACAUAAUUAUAAUGUUCAAACAGAAUAUAAGAACACCUGAAAACAAUAGAAUUAAUGGAUGACAGAACUUUAUAAAAAUAAUUUUUAAAAUGUCUCAGUGAGAUGAAUUUUUUUCUCUUCAUUUAAUCCUGGCAAUAGGCAUUUCAUGGCACAGAAGGGUUUGUGCAAUUUAUUUAAGCUUCCAGACCACGUAGGUACCCCACAAUUUUGCUAAUGAUGCCCAGGAUGCCCUCAAUUCAAACAGGUUAGGCCACAUAUAAGAUGACAGUGAAUUGAAUUCGUGGUUAUUUAAGGACUAUUUAGUUAGGGGUGUGAGAAACUACACUUGAAAUCAAAGUUGACCAAAGAAGUGCAUUUAUUACUAACAUGUGCUUAGUUUCAUUCAAUUACAAGGAUAAGCAAUUAGAUAUUAUAUUAUGAAUAUGUAUAGCUGAAGUUUGUAAGCAAUUAGAGCAAAAUGACAAAGUAGUUUUAUGACUGCUUAUUUAGCUAAAUGGACCAUAUUUAUUGUAGAACACCUUUCCCCCUAUUAAAAAAAUGAGAAAUUUUAGUUCAAAAUUUGGCAUAACAAAUAACUGAUAGCAUUUAGCUAUUCCAUUUGAAAUACUGUAUAUUUAGCUUAUUAUAUCUUAACCACUGAAAGAGAAUCUAAUUAUUUCCAGUUUUUCGACAACAUCAAGAGGCAAUGUAGUGUAGUAGAAAAAUUGCUGGAUUUACUGCCAGAAUCUGGCUGUGCAAACUUAAACGAGGCAUUUACCCUAUGCUUCAUUUUACUAAUGUGAAAAAUAGAAUAACUGUCUUAUAAGACUAUUGUAAGAAUUGCAUGAGAAAACAGAUAAAUACGUGUUGAACUGUAUUCCUUCUCUUUUCCCCCACUCACCUAAGAAGUAAACAAAACCAAAGUAGCUGGAUAGAUUCCAUCUUUUGAGGCUUCAUGACACUGUUUCCAUUUUUCUCUGGAUAUUCCAACAAUCUUGCUUCUAUUUAUGACUUUCUUUUCUAAGAUUGAAAGGACUAUGGGAGAUAAGGUGAUGGAAUAUUUGUGCUGUUCACAUGGUGAGAUUCACAAUUGUACUGAUAGCUAGCUUGCUUGGAAUACUUUAUUAGGACCUGAAUCCUAGCUCUGCUGCUAGCGGUGUAAUCUUUAUGCUUUAGUUCCUCCUGAUAAAGGCUUAAAGGAGAGAACUUUAAGGUACAUUUCAGUUCUGUAAUUCUAUGAACUCCAACAAUUUUUAUUCUGCCUUGAACCUGCACCACCUCAGAGAUUUUUCAAAGAAUAAUUUUGUCCUUGCCAGCAAAAGAUAAAGAAUUGAGUUAAAGUAGUAAGCAGUGCGCAUUUACUUUCCACAGGUUGGAAUAUGAGAAGAAUAGAACCACUGAGCAAUUAUUCCUCUUUCUCAUCUCAACACCUCUUAUCCUUUUGCUCCCUUUCCCUCUCUCUGCUCCCCUCUGGAGGCCUUGCCAUUUUCCAAAUUGUAUUCAUGCCUUUUCCUAAAUUUGUAACAUUCUUUAACCAGUGUAUAAAAAGACUAUGGAAGAUACAUAGAUAUUUGACCCUGUCCUUUUCAAAUGUAAAUAUGUAUAUGAAUGAUCGGAGAUUUUGUUAAAAUACAAACUUGGAUUCAGUGUGUUUAGCAUGGGUUCGGAUCCUGCAUUUCUAACAAGUUCCCAGGUGAUGCUACUACUCCUGGAAUCACCCUGUGGGUAGCAAGGGGUGGAACCAUUCUGUGAACUAAAGAAACCCUAAAUGUAAAACUGAAAAGCAUAGUAAUAAAUGUUAUAUUUCAAUUUUGUUUAAAAAAAAUCCUUUUUAACGACCUUCUCAAAAAUAUAAUCGCACAUCAAAGCUGAAAUUUCCAGAAAGGCAAUGUAUUAUUCCUACAAUUGCUCUAUUCUCAUGUCAUUUAUUAGAUUAUGACCUAUGCAUUUUUUAAUUUGGCAAAGUGCUGUCAUUAGACAAUGUAAACAUCACUAGUUAAUUUUGAAAACAUAAACAUAUAAGAGAAUUUAAUUAAGCUAUAUAAUUCAGAUGAUCAAAUUAUUUAAAAUAAAAAUUUCUCAAUAUUUAUGACAUUUUAUAAGCUUUUUGUGCGUGUGUUCCAAAGUCAAAGUAAACAUGACACAAAAUAUUAUAGUGCUCUGAAAUACUGCAACAGAUAACUACUAGUCAUCCAAAAGAGUAAAUUUAUAGAAAUCAUUUAUUUAUCUACCUAUGUGAAGCUACCUAUUUUUUUUUUCACUUUUUACUUAAAAUUCCUUAGUAUUCAAUAGCAUUGCUACUAGCUGACAGAAAAUGUAAACCAAAAUAUACACCAAAUUGCUAACAGUAGUUAUUUGAGAAAUGAAAGAAUUUGAGUUAUGACAUUGUUCACUCAAGAGUUAUGGAAAAGUUUAAAGAUUAAAAGUGGUAUUCUAAAAUUCCACACUGCUUGCUUUUAUAAAAAUGUACACGAUCAUUCCCCUUUCUUAAUAAAUAUAUUCUAGAUUUUCUUAUUUUUAGCAUAAGCUCAGUAGAGCCCCAGGUUCCUGGUAGAAACGGAACAGUAACAACAAGAAGAACAAGUUUUAUUUAAAAACAAAUAUCACUUACAGGAUUUCUACUAUAUCUGUACAUUUUACUGCACUUUUCCUCAUAGAAGAGAGUACUGAUGAAGGAUUUACCUACAUGUAUUUUGCAAAGGCACUGUUUUCUGUAGGCUUAAUAUCAAGGAUGGUACCAAUAAAUAAUAGUUGAAGAGAAAAAAAUUGGUGGUCAGACAAGGUGAGUAAGAUAUAGCGAAGGCAGUAGCAUCUUAAUCACACUGGUACAACAUAGGAAGAAUUCUCAGUGUUUGCCCUCAAUUAUGGCCCAGAAGAUGAUUUUGUGUCCUAAGAUCCUGGUAACACUGUAUGAGUGUUAGGCCCAAAAUUAACCCUGCACAACCAGUUUCAAAUCCUAUGAGAAUUCAGUAAAUUUUUCUAGUAUUCAACUUAAGAAACUACAGACUCAUGCAAAUAUUAAAACGACAUUCAAAAAGGUUUUUAAAAGGUCUUGCUAAAAUAUCAACAAUACCAAAAACUCUGUAGAUUGGUUUUUAAAAUGUUAUUCUUGUAGAAAAUUUUAGGCUUGCAUGGAAUACUGCAUCUGUGAGACUCAUUUACCUCUAUAGUAGUAUUUAUCUUUUAAGCAGAACGAAGUUUAGUUUUCCUUUUAAAUAAAUCACCUACCACUUAAUAAUGUGGGAAAUGUAACACAGACAACCAAUUCAUUUUGUUAAUCAAAAAAGAAAACUGAAAGAAAUGAAGCUGUUUUCAAGAGUAAGCUUCGUUAUGCAAAGGAAAAUAUUUCUUUUUUAUUAGCUCCAUCUGAUGGCUGAUCUGGUUUUUACACACUGCCUGGAGAUAAAUUUCCAACAGUAAUUUUGUGGUUUUCUCUCCCUCUUCUCUGUCAGAAAGGUGUGCUAUAUUGAGAAGAGGCUACUCAACUUUUUAUGUGACUAAUUAGUUUACUGAAUUCUGCAAAAUAUUUACAACUGUAAACAGUAAAGAAAUCUUGUUAAUCUUGUCAGAUAUUGUUCCUUCCAGUUGAGGAACAUAAAUGUCAGUGAUUAGUAUUGUAAAAUUUAAAAUUUGAAAAUAUGGACAUAUUGUCAAUAUUAUCCUGUAUGCACAUCUUCAUACAAACCUCUCAGAUAGGCUUAGCUUACCUCUUGCCUAAUUUAUGUUUGGCAUGUACAUGGAGAUAACAAGUUGUCAUACACAAAACUGAUUUUAUUGUCCUCAUUCAUAUUUUAUAUUAAUGGACCAAUUUGGUGAAACCUGUUUAUAUGAUAUGCCAUCCUAAUAUUACCGGAUAUGAGCCUGCAUGCUUGAAAAUCUAAUUCUGCCAAUGUAGAUAAAAACCAGCUUAAGAUUUAAAUGUUGAAUGUUGAAAUAUAUAACUGAGCUUAAGCAUCAAAUAAUAAGUAAAUUAAGAAAAUACUAUACCUCAGCAUCAUAUUCCCAUAACUGAUUUCCUCUCAUAUGGUGGCAUUUUAACAUGAUUACAGGUCCAUUGAGUCUAGAAACAUCCAAGCACAAGUCAUCGGUUCGGAUUUCUUUGUCAGCAGUGUAAGAAAAUACCUGAAAAUAUAAAUUCAGCUAAUAAAAAAAAUGUAUGUUUUAAAAUGUCACAAUAGAGCAGAUCUAUCCAGGGAAGCUUUCGUAUCAGAUAAACUUGUGUUUUCAAACGAUUGCUGGUAUGUUAUCUUGAGAAAGCUAAUUCAUCUCUUUGAGUCUUUUUCCUCAACUGCAAAAUAGGGACAAAGUCAUCUGUUUUAUGAUGUUUUGGUGAGGCCUCAGUUUAACAAAACAAACCUUUAAAUACCCAUUAUUUGCUGGCACUGUAGUUCUUUCAUGAUACUUGCAUUAUAAAGCUCUCAAUAGGUUAAGUAAAAUAAAGUUUACAAACUGCAUGGAGCUCAGUGAAGGCAGUCCCUGUUCCUACUAUUGUAUGACCAGUUCUCCAAUUCUACAAUGUCAUUUUUUCAUAUAGAAGUUUAAAUCUUUCUUCUGAUAACAUAAGUACAUCGUGUAAGUUUUAUUAAAUACUGUCAGUGAGCUUCUGAAGGUUGUAGAAGUAUCUUCUCUAGAGAUCUUAUUAAAGGUAGGCUCUACACUUAUCUCUCUAAUAUGGUUUGCCUAAGCUUAACUACAUCAAUUCUUCUGAAAAUAUCCAAGAAAUGUCACGGUGGAUUAUGGACUCUUUGUUAGAUAAUUCAAUUGAACUAUAAUAAUCUUUAUUAUUUUGUUCCUGGUGUGAAUAAUUUAUUUACAACAUUGAUUAUUAAGGUUUCAUGAGGGUUUUUUUUUUUUUUUUUUUAGAUGGAGUCUUGCUCUGUCGUCAGGCUGGAGUGCACUGGCGUAAUCUGGGCUUACUGCAACCUCCGCCUCCCGGAUUCAAGCGAUUCUCCUGCCUCAGCCUCCCGAGUGGCUGGGACUACAGGCAUGCGCCACCAUGCCGGCCUAAUGUUUUGUAUUUUAGUAGAGACGGGGUUUCACUAUGUUGGCCAGGAUGGUCUCAAUCUCCCGACCUCAUGAUCCACCUGCCUCGGCCUCCCAAAGUGCUGGGAUUACAGGUGUGAGCCGCCAUGCCCAGCCUCAUGAGGGUUAUUAAGCACAUAAUUAUAGAAUGUGUUUUCUUCUUUUAACUACGAUAAGCAUUGUUCAGUAUUCUGUGGGUUUUUCUUUCUCCUUGCAAUGUCAACAGAAUACAUAAUGAGAAAGGUCAUGUCAGGGUCUUUUUGUUUCUCAAAGAUAUCUGAUGAAAUCUGAGGAAGUCAGCUUUACAAAUAACAUAAACUCUGGAGCUCCGUAAGCUGAACGAGUUAGUCUUGGAAGAGUUGCCUCUGCAGCAUUGCUACUCAGAACUUCUAUGAAAACCACAAGAAGUGGUGAGAGGAAGCGGCAAAAUCAAUGACAGAACACAAAUACCCUCUUCUGCCAACCGCUUAAAAGGAAAUUAUGGGGGGCUGGGUCGGUGGUUCGGUGGCUCACGCCUGUAAUCCCAACACUUUGGGAGGCUAAGGCGAGAGGAUUGCUUGAGCCCAGGAGUUUGAGACCAGCCAGGGAAACAUACAGAGAUGUCAGCUCUACAAACGAUAAUAAAAAGAAAAUUAUCCAAGCAUGGUGGUACACGCCUGUUGUCCCCACUACUUGGGAGGCUGAGUGGGAGAGGCUGAGGUUGGCAGAUUGCUUGAGCCAUGAUCACACCACUGCACUCAGUCUGGGUGACAGAGCAAGACCCAGUCUCAAAACAACAACAACAACAACAACAAAACCCAGAAAAUUCUUCACAAAGGUUAUACAUUUUCUCAAUAAUAUACAAAUUUGAGAAAUGUGAAGUACAUUUAAUUGAAUUAUGUAAAAUAUAACACAGACUUCAUAUAUUCAAUUCACAAAUAAAUUUUCUAGGUUCUUUACUUUUUCAUGUUCAUAUGUUUUUUAUGAAGAACAUAUGGUCACCUAAGAAGAAUAAAAUAAAAACCCAUCAAACAGAAAUAUUCAUAUCCUCCCCAAACCGUAUUAUCUUAAACACAAUUACAAACUUAUUUAAUUACACAAGUGAGAAUCUUAAGCUGAGAGAAGAAAAUUUCUAGAGAAAUUUCUUUUGUUCAUUAUAGGAUUAUUUCAAUACUGAAGGAUAGUCUUCGACAUUAGAAUUGCUUCCUUUUAAAGUGUACAAAUGCCAGUGUAAAAGGAAACAUCAUAACAUCCAUUUCAGCCUUAAUUUUCUAAUGGCUCAGGCCGUUUUUAUACAGUGUAUUCUUCUCCAGUGUCUUAAGAUAGUUUGGAAACAGUACCUGUUGAACCUUUCAGAGAGCAGUCUACCAUAUAUCCCUUGAUCCUCAAUUUCUAAUUUAGAUUCAUUUGUGGUUGUUACAGUUAUAAGUAACGUACAUUUAAGAAAGAUAUAUCUGUAGAACAGUUUCUGCACUUAUAUGUGUAUAUAAAUUAUAUGUCUGCUAAAUUUUUUUUGGCCUUUGUACUUGAAAAAAAAUUAACAGAUGUUAAAAUAUUUGGCUCACAAGCAAUGUUAAAAACAAUCUGUAGAUAAUGCUUCCUUAUUUUUCUUGGAUUAAUGUAAAAUCAGGAUUAAUUUGCUUUGUGUACCUGGGAAAUAAUCUCGUUUGUAUGCUUGUUUCUAGGAUGUCUUUUACUCUUCAUAAUAAUAAAAAAGUCAGUGCAUGUCAGUAUAUACAUAUCCUUCUUGAUUUUAUCUGGAAAUUAUUAGGUUUGAUCUCAAUUAUUUAUCAUUUAUAUCCAUUAGCUUUUUAACCCAUAAUUGUCAUUAUUAAAAUUUUUUUCAUGUUUACUACUGUGAAAGGUUCAUGGAAUUCACUUUGGGUAUACUGAAAACAUUAUAUGUGAAAUACUUUGCAGAGAUUCUAGCACACAGACAAAAUUCAGUAGCUGAUAUUUAGAGUUAUUAUUCCCAGUCUUGGAGUUAAUCCCAAAUUGAGGAUUUCUUCCCAAUACUGCCAAGAAAUUUUAGUAUAAGGGUCCAGCAAUGUUUGCUCUUGCCUGUCUGUGCUGACCCUUGGCCACUACACAAGUCCCGAGAGAGAGUUUAUAAUACCUGAUGACAGAUGUUUCUGAUAAUUUCAGCAUUGUAUUAUGACCCUCUAGAUUAACUACUUAUGAGUUCCUUUAUGACUUUGGGGACAAUCUCCAAAUCUCAUGCUGUAUUUCCUAGGAAGCAGCUAUUCCCUAUAGCUGUUGCUUGUUUUUCCAUCUCACUACUCCACAGACACUCUCAGUUAGUAUGUGUAAGGCCCAGCCUGUCCUUGCUGUGGUUGAAACCUUUAUGCCUGACUAUGUGAGUUAAAAUAUUUCUAACCUGCACACCAAUGAAGCACUUUACCUUAAACUAUCACAUAUACUGAUAACUACACGAUACAAGAUUGAUUCAUUCAUUAAUAAAAUCUCAUUGUACAUUCUCUUAAAAUAAUGGAAACUAUUCUUCUUCCUUUUCUAAUUAUCUCUCAAAUUGCUUUAUCAUCGGUUACCAAUAGUUAGUAAAGCAGAACUGUGUUACAUGAACCAUAGAUUUAGCAUAUGUUUCCAUUUGUUCCAGUGGCAGCCUGACUUUAAUGACAAUUAAUUGGUUCAAAGUCUAAUCACUUUGAUUAAGCUGACUAGAAGCAGGGAAAAACAAUCAAUUUCUGUGCCUUUCCUUCCAUUAUAAAAGAGGAAACAGGGAGAAAGUUAACAUUAAUUGAACACUACCUUUUUUAAAAAAUGUGUUCUAUGCUUCGUAUAUAUUACAUUAAAUAAAUUUGCUCUAUUCUUCUAUUGUGCAAUUACAUUUAUAUUUCUAUGAAUGUAUACCAACUUACAGUACUGCAAAAUGUAACAUGUAGAGCUCUUUGUAUGAAUCCUAUGGAUUUAGUAAUUUAUAGUGUUUUUAAAAUUCUGUUUCACACUUAAUGUUCAUGUUGUCUCAACUGUAAAAUUAUGAGCUAUCUAGUAUCACAUAUAUUCUCAUGUAGUCCUUCAGUCAAGCUAGGUCUACAAACAACCACUAAAAUGGCCAUUUUUGAGUCAACUCUUUUAAUCUCAGCUAUCUUAUAAGACGGUGAUAAUGAUACAGGUGAUGAUGUCUAUGCUCCAUUUUAUGGACCUUGUUGAUUAUUAUGCCUUAAUCCCAGCAGUUUGGGAGGCCCAGGCGCAUGGAUCACGAGGUCAGGAGAUUGAGACCAUCCUGGCUAACACGGUGAAACCCCGUCUCUACUAAAAAUACAAAAAAUUAGCAGGGUGUGGUGGUGGGCGCCUGUAGUUCCAGCUACUCUGGAGGCUGAGGCAGGAGAAUGGCGUGAGCCCGGGAGGCGGAAUUUGCAGUGAGCGGAGAUCACACCACUGCACUCCAGCCUGGGCUACAGAGCGAGACUCCUCUAAAAAAAACAAACAAACCAACAAACUAAUCACUGUAAUAACUCAGUUUUUAUUGUUUACUGUUGUAUUAGUUCACUAGGGCUGUCAUAACAAAGUACUAUGGACUGGGUGGCCUAAGCAACAGAAAUUUAUUUCCUGACAGGUUUGGAGGCUGGAAGUCCAAGAUCAAGAUCUUAGUAGAGUUGGUUUCUGCUGAGGCCACUCUCUUUGGCUUGUAAGAGGGAUCUUCUCCAUGUGUCUUCACACGGUCUUCCUUCUCUGUUUGCAUGUGUCCUAAUCUCCUCUUUUUAUAAAAACACCAGUUACAUUAGAUUAGGGCACCCUAAUGAUGCCAAAAUUCUUUAAAGACUCAUCUCUAAUAUGGUUACAUUCUAAGGAACUGGGGGUUAAGACUUCAACAUAUGAAUUUCUAGAAGAGCACAAUUCAGGCCACAACACCACUAACCCUUUACAAUGUAUUGGAGUAGAUAACAUAUCUUUCCUUAUUCCUAAAUGAAAAACAUGGUGUACAUGAAUUUUUUUUUUUUUUUGGCUAACCUGUUUAGAUCACCUUGGGAUUCAAUUCAGAAAUUAGAAUAUACUGUUUAGUAGUACUAAUCAAAACUCUAAAUGUAAUGUAAUAUCAAAUAAUUCCCCCUUCUUCACAUUGGGCCUAAUUUAUGUUGGCAGCCUGCAGAGGCAAAGGCUUUUUCUGUUUUACGACUUAAGCUUUUUUUUUAUUCCUCACUGUUCCUACCCACUCCUAAAUUCACCCAGUCUGCUAAUCAAUUUAUUUUUUAUUUUUUAUUUUUUUAUUCUUCCAGAGUGGCAAAGCUGUAAGAGAGGUCUUACUUGAACUGGUUUGUAUAACUCCUUCCUGUUCUCUGGCCUGCCAGAGAUUUAAAGCUCCCUGUCCUGAGACCAUUUGGAUUUUCUUAGAGAUUCCCAUCUCUGAGCACCUCUUAACUGAAGUGCAAAGAGAGAGGACAAUGCAUAUUUUAUAAGUGAGCCACUUUUUGUGAAAACUCUGGGAGGCAGGCUAACCUUAGGCAGUGCAGUCAGCUCCCUGUAUUCAGUUGUCACAAGCCAGCCUUAUCAUGUGUGAGUCAGGCCACAGCCUGCCAUAUUCUCAAGUACCAGAAGCAUAUACCAAGCUCUCCAACUGGCAUCCUGCAUAAUUUGCAGGUCCCAGUGCAAAAUGAAAAUGCAGAACUUAUUUUUAUAAAAUUACCAAGAAUUCCAAGAUUGUAGGGAUCUGUGUGAUUGCAUGGGUUGCAAGCUCAAGAACUUCCUGGCCUUGAAUCCUCCUCUUACUGGAAGCUAGAAUCCCAGCCCAUCUCCUCUAGAGGGAGGGCAACUAAUCUCUCCAGGCAAAAUCUUGUAAUCUUCUUCAUAUUCUGAUACUUUCCAUUAUGGGUUGAACUGUGGCUCCCCAGAUGAUAUAUUGAAGUACUAACCACCAGUACCAAAAAAUGUGCACACUUAUGGAGAUAGUCCUCAUGAUGAAGUCAUACUGGAGUAAGAUGGGCCCUUAAUCUAAAAGGACUGGCGUCCUUAUAAGAGAAUAGAGACAGAGAAAAGACAGCCAUGUGAUGAUGGAAGUAGAGACUGGAAUGAUGCAUCUACAAGCCAUGGGACACCAAGGAUUGUUGGCAAACACCGGAAGCUAGAAGAGGAAAAAGAUGAUUCUCCCUUAGGUUUCAGAGGGAGUAUGGCACUUCUGACACCUUGAUUUCAGACUUCUAGCCUCCAGAACUAUAAGACAAUAAAUUUCUAUUAAGCAAUUUACUAGGUUUCUAUUAAGCAACCUAGUUUGCAGUAAUUUGAUACAACAGCUCCAGCAAACCAACAUACCUCCUUUUCCUCCUCAUGCUGGUUGAAGUGUCUAAAGUCACGAAAUCAGAUUUCCAAAGUGUCUUUGCAAAUUUUGCACAGGAAAAUCUGAUUUUAGAUUGUCAUUGCAAAUUUUGCAUAGGGAAAUCUGAUUUUACAUUUCACAUUUAUUGUAUCUUGGUAUCUGGGCUGAAAUUUUAACAUCCAGUUAUACUUUCCAAUAGUAUAAAAUCAACCAUUUUCAAAAUACUUUUAUAUUAUAGCUGUAUCUUCAUAAAGGUGUUUUAUAAUGUGACUAGGUGAUUUCCUGAUUUUAUGUAUACUUUAUUGAAGUCGUAAUGAUUUCUGCUUCUGAAUUUAUAUUGUAAUCAAAUGAGUACUAUCUAUAAUGGAUGAUACUACAUAUAAAGCCAAUUCAAAUCUCAAUUCCUUUUAAUCUCUGUAUUUUUCUUUUCAUAGAUGAUGUUUUAGUCCGUUCUCACACUGCUAUAAGGACAUACCUAAGACUGGGUAAUUUAUAAAGGAAAGAGGUUUAAUGGACUCACAGUUCCACAUAGCUGGGGAGGCUCACAAUUGUGGUGGAAGGUGAAGGAGGAGCAAAGGCACAUCCCACAUGGUGGCAGGCAAGAGAGCGUGUGCAGGGAAACUGCCCUUUAUAAAACCAUCAGCUCUCGUGAGACUUAUUCACUAUCAUGAGAACAACAUGGGAAAAACCUGCCCCCAUGAUUCAAUUAUCUCCCACCAGGUCCCUCUCAUGACACGUGGGGAUUAUGGGAGCUACAAUUCAAGAUGAGAUUUUGGUGGAGACACAGCCAAAUCAUAUCAGAUGAGAUGGGGUUUUGCUACAUUUCCCAGGCUGGACUCAAACUCCUAUGUGCAAGAGAUCUUCCUGCCUUAGCCUUCUGAAUAGAUGGUACUACAGAUGCAUGCCACCAUGCCCAGCUAUUUUAUGUAAAUUUUAAAUAAAAAUUAAUAUCAGUUUGAGUAGAUAUAACAUAUUCCUAAUAAGACUAUGAUCUGAGUACCAAUUUUGAUAUUAUGCCUUUAUGAUGAUAUAAAUGUUUUUUCAAAGCACUUUAAAAAUGAAUGGCAUUUCUACACAAAAAAGAGAAAGUAUUAAGGCAAACAUUGGUUUUAAUAUAUAAACUUGAAAAGUCUGUAUAUAAAAAAAACUGUAAACAAAAAGUCAGAAAAAUGUUUGCAAAAUGCAUGACCAGGGCGAUAAUAUUUAACAAAGUAUUCUUAUAAAUGACAAGAGAAAAAAGACCCCUUUCAACCCCCAAUGGAAACAUAAGCAACAAUAUCACUAGAAAAUUUGCAAUAACAAUUUUUGAAAUGUUUAAAUGCCAGUUUUUAAAAUCAUUAAAUGCACUGAUAAUGCUAGAAAUAUGGUUGAAACAAGAUAAAAUGUUUCUCCCAUACUAAAAUGGCAAAGAUAAAAAACAAAAAAAAAAUAUAAUACACAGGGUUGGCCACUGCGAUUAUAAUCCUGGAAAGUGUGGUUGGAAAUCAAUGCAAAUACAGUGACUAUAAACCUGGUGUGGAAUCAGACUUAGGUUCACACUGGCUUUACCAUUUCAAUCAUGAUACUAAUCACUCAAGAUUUCCAUUACAUUCGUAAGUAAAAUAAGAUAAUAACACUAUCUACUUCAAAGAUCAUUGUAAGUCUCAAAGAGGGUAAUUUGUAUUAAAUGUUUAUCAGAGUCCUUUUUAUUUUAGCUAUUAGUCUUAUUUGCUGAAAUCUUAAGAAAAAAGAACAAUUUGUUAGUAUACCUUAAAAGCCUUCUAAUUUUGCAUAACCUUUGAUUGAGCAAACAUACUUCUAGACAUAUUUCUAAAGAAGUAAAUAUUAGUGAUCACCAGAUUUUAGCUACAAGGAAAUUGAUAGGCUUGGUUUAUAAUACUGAACAUUUACAAAUAUUGUAUGUUAAACAAUAAAAGAAUAAAUAAAUUAUAGCUUAUCCAUUAAAAAUGUGUCCUGUAGCAAAUGUACUUCUAGAGAUAUUUCUAAAGAAGUAAAUAUUGGCGCUUGCCAGAUUUUAGCUACAAGGAAAUUGAUGGGCCUGGUUUAUAACAAUGAACUUUUAUAAAUAUUGUAUGUUAAACAAUAAAACAAUGAAUAAAUCAAUUAUAGUUUAUCCAUUAAAAAUGUGUCCUGUUUAGGUUAAGGAGUUGCUAAUGAAUAGCUAGCAAAUGAGAAGCUAAAUUAUCGGGUUUUCAACAGUGAGUGUGUCUUAAGUUUUUUAGUGGAGCAGAGUGUAGCCAACAGCUCAAUUUCAGAGAACAGUGUAAGUGAACUGCUAGGAUAGGAAAACACUGAAAGCAUUCAAGGAAUGAGAAAUCAUGAGACGUAUGUCUAGAGCACAGGAGACCGAUGGGACAUCAAGGUAGAUCAGGCUGGAAAACCAGAUGGGGAUACAAUUAUGAGGGGUUUUGUAUAUCAUAGGAAAGAAUUUGGCUUUUAUUCUUUGGGCAGUGGAAAGCUGCUGAAUAUUUAAUGAGAUGUUAAACUAAUGUAGCAUGAAUUAUGAGUUAUGAAAAUAAUGAGGUUUUAAAUCCAUAUGGGUAAAAGUAGAUAUAGGCUAGAACAAAGGCAGAGAUCCUGGUUAUAAAAGGACUAAGAUGUAGGGACAUUUUUCCAUAGAAGUGUUGGGAUUUGGUGACUAAUCGGACUUCAGAAGUAUGUUUCUAUGUUAGGUUUCCAUUUUGGAUGACUCUGUGAAAGGAAAGGAAAUGAGUUCAGUUUGGAAACAGGUGGGUUUGAGAUGUCUGCAGACAUUAACGAUAAUUAACUGGCUAUAGAUUCUAGAGCUCAGGAGAGAGGUUGGGGCUGUACAUGUAAAUCUGAGUCAUUAACAUUGUACGGGACAUGGAAGUGCUUCCAGGAAUCCAUGCCAUCUUUCAGAAGUACAGAGAAGACACUCUCACAACUGCUAUACUUUAUUUCAGUAAAUUGUAACUUCUGUCUUUCACUUGUAAAAGUUUAUAUUCAAGUUAAUCAAAUUAUUCUUAUUCUUUUCAAAGUGUUAAUGAUUAUCAUGAAGUUGCUUGACAAUGAAAAUAAAUCAUUGCAAGAAUAGAUAUAAA
RNAcentral lists this long non-coding RNA (15361 nucleotides) under Homo sapiens (human). RNAcentral describes it as "HSALNT0041651". The record is from RNAcentral. Lineage: Eukaryota; Metazoa; Chordata; Mammalia; Primates; Hominidae.